This 65-nucleotide transfer RNA is filed under the name Carbrunneria paramaxi. RNAcentral describes it as "tRNA-His". The record is from RNAcentral. Lineage: Eukaryota; Metazoa; Arthropoda; Insecta; Blattodea; Blattellidae.
UUUCAAGUAGUUUAUAAAAAAUAUUGAUUUGUGGUAUCAAUGAAGUAAUUGUUUUACCUUGGGUU